This 253-nucleotide ribosomal RNA is filed under the name uncultured bacterium. RNAcentral's name for it is "partial 16S ribosomal RNA". It matches the Rfam family "Bacterial small subunit ribosomal RNA", at positions 524 to 776 of the family's 1533-position model. The record is from RNAcentral.
UACGUAGGGUGCGAGCGUUAAUCGGAAUUACUGGGCGUAAAGCGUGCGCAGGCGGUUUUGUAAGCCAGAUGUGAAAUCCCCGGGCUUAACCUGGGAACUGCAUUCGAGACUGCAUUGCUAGAGUAUGGGAGAGGGAAGUGGAAUUUCCGGUGUAGCGGUGAAAUGCGUAGAUAUCCGGAGGAACACCGGUGGCGAAGGCGGCUUCCUGGACCGACACUGACGCUGAGGCGCGAAAGCUAGGGGAGCAAACGGG